GAUGAAGAACGCAGUGAAAUGCGAUAAGUAAUGUGAAUUGCAGAAUUCAGUGAAUCAUCGAAUCUUUGAACGCACAUUGCGCCCGCCAGUAUUCUGGCGGGCAUGCCUGUUCGAGCGUCAUUUCAACCAUCAAACCCCCGGCUUGUGUUGGGGACCUGCGGCUGCCGCAGGCCCUGAAAAGCAGUGGCGGGCUCGCUGUCACACCGAGCGUAGUAGCAUACAUCUCGCUCUGGGCGUGCUGCGGGUUCCGGCCGUUAAACCACCUUCAUAACCCAAGGUUGACCUCGGAUCAGGUAGGAAGACCCGCUGAACUUAAGCAUAUCAAUAAGCGGAGGA
This 336-nucleotide unclassified non-coding RNA is filed under the name soil metagenome. RNAcentral describes it as "partial contains 5.8S ribosomal RNA, internal transcribed spacer 2, and large subunit ribosomal RNA". The stretch from base 1 to 120 matches the Rfam family "5.8S ribosomal RNA", at positions 35 to 154 of the family's 154-position model. The record is from RNAcentral.